This 208-nucleotide ribosomal RNA is filed under the name Clostridioides difficile. RNAcentral's name for it is "partial 23S ribosomal RNA". It matches the Rfam family "Bacterial large subunit ribosomal RNA", at positions 1071 to 1288 of the family's 2925-position model. The record is from RNAcentral. Lineage: Bacteria; Bacillati; Bacillota; Clostridia; Peptostreptococcales; Peptostreptococcaceae.
GGAUGUGGGUGCACAGACAACCAGGAUGUUGGCUUAGCAGCAGCCACUCAUUCAAAGAGUGCGUAAUAGCUCACUGGUCGGGUGAUCCUGCGCCGAAGAUUUCCGGGGCUAGAACUUAGUACCGAAGCUACGGCAUCAUUAUGAUGGGUAGGGGAGCUUCCCAUACGGGUUGAAGCAUGACCGUAAGGACAUGUGGACAGUAUGGGAG